CCCCUCUCCUCCUCAGUCCUCAUCAGUCAUCACACCGUACAAGUCGAUUUCGCUCCCACUCUCCCAGGCUCCCAGGCUCCUCCUCCUCGGCUCCUCAUCACUUCGAUUACCCUCCUAGGCUCCCAGCCUCCUCCUCCUCAGUCCUCAUCAGUCAUCAGUUCGAUUACACUCCCAGGCUCCUCGUCCUCGGCUCCUCCUCCUCUGGACCUCUUCUAAACUUCUGCAAAUCUGCAGCUCUGGCCUCUGGGCUCUGGAAUUCUCGGCUUCUCCAAGACAUCAACAUCAAUUUGAGGCAAUGAUUCAUUGAUUCAAUGUGAAGAUUUCAUGGAUUGAACUCAUUGAAGAAUGAAGAUUUCAUGGAUUGAACUCAUCUUCGUCUAAUCGUCUCAUCGUCUGGUGUUAGAGUAACAUGUCAAAUCAUGAGCCAAAACCGAAGCGAUCAAAAUUCAUUGACUCAUGGUUUAAAAGAACAAAUGUUGAGUCUUCAAGUUCAAAUGUAGUUUCUGAACCUUCCAUAUCCUCUCCAAAUAUUGAUGUUGAACCUCAACCUUCCAUUCCUGAACCACAAAAUAAUAUCAACGGUCUUGAACGUGAUCCUGGAUUGCGUUGUGCCAUAUGGAAAUAUCCAGUGAAUGAGCGUGAUAGUAUUCGAAAAGCCUAUGUUUUGUUGGGUCCAUUUCAACCUCAGUUAGAAUUUCCAUUCACUGAACAAGGGAGUCAACCACGUAGAUUUCAGUUUUCUUGGUUCAAG
Long non-coding RNA from Rosa chinensis, 751 nucleotides. RefSeq lists it as uncharacterized. The transcript has 3 exons. The record is from RefSeq and is a predicted model, not a curated record. NCBI's taxonomy places the organism in Eukaryota, Viridiplantae, Streptophyta, Magnoliopsida, Rosales, Rosaceae.